UUCUUGGUGGUCCAGUGGUUAGGAAACUGUGUUUCCACUGCAGAGGGCAGGGGUUCGAUCCCUUGUCAGGGAA
This 73-nucleotide transfer RNA is filed under the name Ovis aries (sheep). It matches the Rfam family "tRNA". Rfam says of the family: Transfer RNA (tRNA) molecules are approximately 80 nucleotides in length. Their secondary structure includes four short double-helical elements and three loops (D, anti-codon, and T loops). Further hydrogen bonds mediate the characteristic L-shaped molecular structure. tRNAs have two regions of fundamental functional importance: the anti-codon, which is responsible for specific mRNA codon recognition, and the 3' end, to which the tRNAs corresponding amino acid is attached (by aminoacyl-tRNA synthetases). tRNAs cope with the degeneracy of the genetic code in two manners: having more than one tRNA (with a specific anti-codon) for a particular amino acid; and 'wobble' base-pairing, i.e. permitting non-standard base-pairing at the 3rd anti-codon position. Lineage: Eukaryota; Metazoa; Chordata; Mammalia; Artiodactyla; Bovidae. The record is from Rfam by way of RNAcentral.